UCGGAUGUGGUGUACGGUGCGCACCCGCUGUGAAUAGGACAGUUCGCGAGAGUUAUGAGCGGGAGGCCUGGGUUCGAUUCCCAGCAUCCGAA
Mycena vitilis is the source of this 92-nucleotide non-coding RNA. NCBI's taxonomy places the organism in Eukaryota, Fungi, Basidiomycota, Agaricomycetes, Agaricales, Mycenaceae. The record is from the annotation of a GenBank genome assembly.